RNAcentral lists this ribosomal RNA (354 nucleotides) under Percus villai. RNAcentral's name for it is "partial 12S ribosomal RNA". Lineage: Eukaryota; Metazoa; Arthropoda; Insecta; Coleoptera; Carabidae. The record is from RNAcentral.
UUUAAAUGUAAAAUUGAUUUUACUAAAGUAGUAAUAGUUAUGUUCUUGAAAUUUAAAGAUUUUGGCGGUAUUUUAGUCUAUUUAGAGGAACCUGUUCUAUAAUUGAUAGUCCACGAUUAACUUUACUUAUUUAAUAAAUUUGUAUACCGUCGUUAUAAGAAAAUUUUAAUAGAAUAAUAAAUUUUUAAUAUUUUAUAUUAAAAAAUAUAUCAGAUCAAGGUGCAGUUAAUAUUUAAGAAGAAAUGGGUUACAAUAAAUUUAUUUAUAUGGAUUAGAAUAUUAAUAAUUUUAUGAAGGUGGAUUUAAUAGUAAUUAAAUUAAGAUAAAUUUUGUGAUUUUAGCUCUAAAAUAUGU